GUUCAGCCAAGGAUGACUGGCCGGGCGUAUGGGGAUCUAUGCUAAGAGCGCUGAAUCAUGAAUGACCAUGAGCUAUAUGCAUUGUUGUUUUAGGUUGAGA
RNAcentral lists this microRNA precursor (100 nucleotides) under Orobanche cernua var. cumana. Lineage: Eukaryota; Viridiplantae; Streptophyta; Magnoliopsida; Lamiales; Orobanchaceae. The record is from RNAcentral.